UGCGUCUCUUGGCCUUGGGAA
RNAcentral lists this small RNA (21 nucleotides) under Arabidopsis thaliana (thale cress). RNAcentral describes it as "ATSL188880". Lineage: Eukaryota; Viridiplantae; Streptophyta; Magnoliopsida; Brassicales; Brassicaceae. The record is from RNAcentral.